Molecule: small nucleolar RNA, 81 nt
Organism: Balaenoptera musculus (blue whale)
Lineage: Eukaryota; Metazoa; Chordata; Mammalia; Artiodactyla; Balaenopteridae
Gene: SNORD115
Rfam family: Small nucleolar RNA SNORD115
About the family: HBII-52 is a member of the C/D class of snoRNAs, which contain the C (UGAUGA) and D (CUGA) box motifs. HBII-52 is encoded in a tandemly repeated array with another C/D snoRNA, HBII-85, in the Prader-Willi syndrome (PWS) region of chromosome 15.
Source: Ensembl
GGGUCUAUGAUGAGAACUCAUAUGGUCCUGAAGAGAGAGGAUGACCUAAAUGUCAUGCUCAAUAGGAUUACACCGAGGCGC